GACGAACGCUGGCGGCGUGCUUAACACAUGCAAGUCGAACGGAAAGGCCUUGCUUUUGUGGGGUGCUCGAGUGGCGAACGGGUGAGUAACACGUGAGUAACCUGCCCUUGACUUUGGGAUAACUUCAGGAAACUGGGGCUAAUAUCGGAUAGGAGCUCCUGCUGCAUGGUGGGGGUUGGAAAGUUUCGGCGGUUGGGGAUGGACUCGCGGCUUAUCAGCUUGUUGGUGGGGUAGUGGCUUACCAAGGCUUUGACGGGUAGCCGGCCUGAGAGGGUGACCGGGCACAUUGGGACUGAGAUACGGCCCAGACUCCUACGGGAGGCAGCGGUGGGGAAUAUUGCACAAUGGGCGGGAGCCUGAUGCAGCAACGCCGCGUGCGGGAUGACGGCCUUCGGGUUGUAAACCGCUUUCGCCUGUGACGAAGCGUGAGUGACGGUAAUGGGUGAAGAAGCACCGGCUAACUACGUG
RNAcentral lists this ribosomal RNA (468 nucleotides) under uncultured bacterium. RNAcentral describes it as "partial 16S ribosomal RNA". It matches the Rfam family "Bacterial small subunit ribosomal RNA", at positions 28 to 507 of the family's 1533-position model. The record is from RNAcentral.